UAGGGAAUCUUCGGCAAUGGACGAAAGUCUGACCGAGCAACGCCGCGUGAGUGAAGAAGGUUUUCGGAUCGUAAAACUCUGUUGUUAGAGAAGAACAAGGACGUUAGUAACUGAACGUCCGCUGACGGUAUCUAACCAGAAAGCCACGGCUAACUACGUGCCAGCAGCCGCGGUAAUACGUAGGUGGCAAGCGUUGUCCGGAUUUAUUGGGCGUAAAGCGAGCGCAGGCGGUUUCUUAAGUCUGAUGUGAAAGCCCCCGGCUCAACCGGGGAGGGUCAUUGGAAACUGGGAGACUUGAGUGCAGAAGAGGAGAGUGGAAUUCCAUGUGUAGCGGUGAAAUGCGUAGAUAUAUGGAGGAACACCAGUGGCGAAGGCGGCUCUCUGGUCUGUAACUGACGCUGAGGCUCGAAAGCGUGGGGAGCAAACAGG
This 429-nucleotide ribosomal RNA is filed under the name Gemmatimonadota bacterium. RNAcentral's name for it is "Gemmatimonadetes bacterium partial 16S ribosomal RNA". It matches the Rfam family "Bacterial small subunit ribosomal RNA", at positions 355 to 776 of the family's 1533-position model. The record is from RNAcentral. Lineage: Bacteria; Pseudomonadati; Gemmatimonadota.